RNAcentral lists this ribosomal RNA (253 nucleotides) under uncultured bacterium. RNAcentral describes it as "partial 16S ribosomal RNA". It matches the Rfam family "Bacterial small subunit ribosomal RNA", at positions 524 to 776 of the family's 1533-position model. The record is from RNAcentral.
UACGUAGGGUGCGAGCGUUGUCCGGAUUUAUUGGGCGUAAAGAGCUCGUAGGCGGCCGUUCGCGUCGGAUGUGAAAGCUCAGGGCUCAACUCUGAGAUGCCAUUCGAUACGGGACGGCUAGAGGUAGGUAGGGGAGAGUGGAAUUCCUGGUGUAGCGGUGAAAUGCGCAGAUAUCAGGAGGAACACCGGUGGCGAAGGCGGCUCUCUGGGCCUUACCUGACGCUGAGGAGCGAAAGCUGGGGGAGCGAACAGG